Molecule: ribosomal RNA, 505 nt
Filed under: uncultured bacterium
Lineage: Bacteria
Description: partial 16S ribosomal RNA
Rfam family: Bacterial small subunit ribosomal RNA
Source: RNAcentral
AGUGAACGCUGGCGGUAGGCCUAACACAUGCAAGUCGAACGGCAGCACAGGAGAGCUUGCUCUCUGGGUGGCGAGUGGCGGACGGGUGAGGAAUACAUCGGAAUCUACUCUGUCGUGGGGGAUAACGUAGGGAAACUUACGCUAAUACCGCAUACGACCUACGGGUGAAAGCAGGGGAUCUUCGGACCUUGCGCGAUUGAAUGAGCCGAUGUCGGAUUAGCUAGUUGGCGGGGUAAAGGCCCACCAAGGCGACGAUCCGUAGCUGGUCUGAGAGGAUGAUCAGCCACACUGGAACUGAGACACGGUCAGGCUCCUACGGGAGGCAGCAGUGGGGAAUAUUGGACAAUGGGCGCAAGCCUGAUCCAGCCAUACCGCGUGGGUGAAGAAGGCCUUCGGGUUGUAAAGCCCUUUUGUUGGGAAAGAAAUCCAGCUGGCUAAUACCCGGUUGGGAUGACGGUACCCAAAGAAUAAGCACCGGCUAACUUCGUGCCAGCCGCCGCGGUAA